GACAGAGGGUGCGAACGUUGCUCGGAAUCAUUGGGCGUAAAGCGCGUGUAGGUGGCUUUUCACGUCGGAUGUGAAAGCCCGGGGCUCAACCCCGGCAGUGCAUCCGAAACGAGGGAGCUAGAGUGCUGGAGAGGCGGGUGGAAUUCCCGGUGUAGAGGUGAAAUGCGCAGAGAUCGGGAGGAACACCCGUAGCGAAGGCGGCACUCUGGGCCGGUACUGACGCUGAGGAGCGAAAGCGUGGGGAGCAAACAGG
This 253-nucleotide ribosomal RNA is filed under the name uncultured bacterium. RNAcentral's name for it is "partial 16S ribosomal RNA". It matches the Rfam family "Bacterial small subunit ribosomal RNA", at positions 524 to 776 of the family's 1533-position model. The record is from RNAcentral.